RNAcentral lists this long non-coding RNA (246 nucleotides) under Gossypium barbadense (sea-island cotton). RNAcentral describes it as "long non-coding RNA (GBAR_LNC012342)". The record is from RNAcentral. Lineage: Eukaryota; Viridiplantae; Streptophyta; Magnoliopsida; Malvales; Malvaceae.
AAUGGCUGAAGCUCACAUGCCCCAGGUAACCUACUCCUCAAACCUCAGAAAAUGGAAAGGGAGCUCGUCAGGUCAGAGGGUAGCACCCUACCUAUUGGUUGGCUCGUAUGUAACCCUAUCCACCAAGAGGAAAAAGGCAAUUUCCAAUGGCUCGAAGGGCUUCAGACUGAAAGGCAGAAAGCCUGGACCGCCAUCGAAAGAGAAAGUCUAAACUAAAGGGGUUGUGGGAUAUCUGAUCCCAACAUC